GUGGGGAAUAUUGGGCAAUGGGCGCAAGCCUGACCCAGCGAUGCCGCGUGAAUGAUGAAGGCCUUCGGGUUGUAAAGUUCUUUUAGUAGGGAAGAUAAUGACGGUACCUACAGAAAAAGCACCGGCUAACUUCGUGCCAGCAGCCGCGGUAAUACGAAGGGUGCUAGCGUUGUUCGGAAUUACUGGGCGUAAAACGCGUGCAGGUGGUUUAGUAAGUUGAAAGUAAAAUCCCAGGGCUCAACCUUGGAACUGCUUUCAAAACUGCUAGACUAGAGUGCGGUAGAGGAUGAUAGAAUUCCUAGUGUAGAGGUGAAAUUCUUAGAUAUUAGGAGGAAUACCGAUGGCGAAGGCAAUCAUCUGGGCCGUUACUGACACUAAUACGCGAAAGCGUGGGGAGCAAACAGGAUUAGAAACCCUGGUAGUCC
RNAcentral lists this ribosomal RNA (425 nucleotides) under uncultured bacterium. RNAcentral describes it as "bacterial SSU rRNA". It matches the Rfam family "Bacterial small subunit ribosomal RNA", at positions 354 to 796 of the family's 1533-position model. The record is from RNAcentral.